GCACUCGAGUUGGCAGCACAUAUACUAAAAUUGGAACAAUACAGAGAAGAUUAGCAUGGCCUCUGCUCAAGGAUGGCACAAAGAUUCGUGAGGUACUCCAUUUUUUU
Mus spicilegus (steppe mouse) is the source of this 107-nucleotide small nuclear RNA. The record is from Ensembl. Lineage: Eukaryota; Metazoa; Chordata; Mammalia; Rodentia; Muridae.